AGUCGAGCGGACAGAUGGGAGCUUGCUCCCUGAUGUUAGCGGCGGACGGGUGAGUAACACGUGGGUAACCUGCCUGUAAGACUGGGAUAACUCCGGGAAACCGGGGCUAAUACCGGAUGCUUGUUUGAACCGCAUGGUUCAAACAUAAAAGGUGGCUUCGGCUACCACUUACAGAUGGACCCGCGGCGCAUUAGCUAGUUGGUGAGGUAAUGGCUCACCAAGGCAACGAUGCGUAGCCGACCUGAGAGGGUGAUCGGCCACACUGGGACUGAGACACGGCCCAGACUCCUACGGGAGGCAGCAGUAGGGAAUCUUCCGCAAUGGACGAAAGUCUGACGGAGCAACGCCGCGUGAGUGAUGAAGGUUUUCGGAUCGUAAAGCUCUGUUGUUAGGGAAGAACAAGUGCCGUUCAAAUAGGGCGGCACCUUGACGGUACCUAACCAGAAAGCCACGGCUAACUACGUGCCAGCAGCCGCGGUAAUACGUAGGUGGCAAGCGUUGUCCGGAAUUAUUGGGCGUAAAGGGCUCGCAGGCGGUUUCUUAAGUCUGAUGUGAAAGCCCCCGGCUCAACCGGGGAGGGUCAUUGGAAACUGGGGAACUUGAGUGCAGAAGAGGAGAGUGGAAUUCCACGUGUAGCGGUGAAAUGCGUAGAGAUGUGGAGGAACACCAGUGGCGAAGGCGACUCUCUGGUCUGUAACUGACGCUGAGGAGCGAAAGCGUGGGGAGCGAACAGGAUUAGAUACCCUGGUAGUCCACGCCGUAAACGAUGAGUGCUAAGUG
This 780-nucleotide ribosomal RNA is filed under the name Bacillus sp. LMR350. RNAcentral's name for it is "bacterial SSU rRNA". It matches the Rfam family "Bacterial small subunit ribosomal RNA", at positions 60 to 822 of the family's 1533-position model. Lineage: Bacteria; Bacillati; Bacillota; Bacilli; Caryophanales; Bacillaceae. The record is from RNAcentral.